GUCUUUACUGUAGUGUAACUGUGGUCCUUUAAUCCACUGAUAUCAUCCAAGUAUAUAUUAAGAGAUAGAUAUCUGUCCAAAAGACGAGAAUCAGCUGGUAUUUGUUUUGAUAACUCAAGGCUGGUUCAUGCCGGAGGGUAUAACUGGUCCACCAUGUUUAUUCAUUUUUGAUUCUGUGAGUUUCAACCACCAGAUAUCCUGAAUAUCUACUGUUACAUAUUAAACCUUCGGAGUAGUUAGUAAAUUGUAAACCUAAUGCAGUCAGCAAACAGUUACAUACAAAAAUAAUGCAGUCAGCUAACAAACUAAAUCAGUCAGCUAACAUGCUAAUGCUUUCUGCUAACAUGCUAAUGCUUUCUGCUAACAUACUAAUGCUUUCUGCUAACAUACUAAUGCUUUCUGCUAACAUACUAAUGCAGUCAGCUAACAUGCUAAUCGAGGUUAUGCAGUGGUUUGGGAUGUGUGGGUACCAUUAUGAAACCAGAUUAUUCAGCCAUCUGGAGCAAAUUAAAAGUAAUACCCAGUGAUCUUGAUAGUACUACUUCAUAAUUUAUACAGCAGCGGGUUUUCUGUGUUCUAAUGAGUCCAUGCUGAACUGGAUAUGGUGUUUAAACAAAGCUGGUGAAUUUUAACAUACAUACCAGAUAUCAAGCAUGUUGGAUUUGAUAUGAUGACAUCACACUUUUUAAUAUCUUUAUUUUACACCUGUCUCAUGAAUCGCUGUUUGCUUUAACAAGCAGGUGCACCUAAUUAAGUGGCCCGGUAAGGAUUUAUUUACCGUAUGUGUAUAUAUAUUACAUUAAAUAUACGGUAAGAACCAGGACCACAGGCUUCUUAAUGCUCCCAAUUCACUGCUUUAUUGACACCACCAUAAUCUGAGUUCAGUGUUUUUUUUAUUUUUAUAUUUCACUUAACAUGGCCAUGGUGGAUGUGGAAAUAAUUAAAGACCAUGUCAAAGAGGUACAUUUGGUCAUACCAUAUUUCAUACAUAUAAAUCUGGUCAGGUCAGAACCUAAGCAACAUUCAAAACAAUUACAGCCCCCCUGACAAUUACACACACCGGAUGCCUCAUAUUGUGUAAGUACAGUGACUUUAAAAAAAAAAAAAAAAACUUUGGUAUCUGUCAUAAUUAAAUAGCUGAAACAGGUAUAUAAAUCAACAGGACAUAUUACAGUAGGGGAUUGUCUUUCGACAAAAUCUUGUUUCUCCCCAUACAACUUAGACCGCAGUAGACUUGAUUAGGUUUUAUCUUAAUCUUGAUGGCCUUGCCAAAAUUGGGUGAUUGAAUUUGUUUGGCAAAAUUCCACUGGGUAGAUGGACAUAAAAUGGACAUGUAACAGCCUAUUGUCUAGGAAGGUGCUCACUGUUGGAGCUCAAACCUUCCUCCCCCUUCACUGAUACUGUGGGCACGCCUGGAGACUUCCCGAAGAGCCUUUUAAAUGUACAGUGGAUAUAAUAAGUCUACACACCCCUGUUAAAAUGCCAGGUUUUUGUGAUGUAAAAGAAUGAGACAAAGAUAAAUCAUGUCAAGAUUCUUCCACUUUUAAUGUGACCUAUAAUGUGAACAAUUCAAUUGAAAACAAACUGAAAUAUUCGAGGGGUGAAAAUUUAAAAUAAAAACCUUACAAUAGCCUGACUGCAUAAGUGUGCAUACCCUCUUAGAACUGGGGAUGUGGCUUUAUUCAGAAUUAACCAAUCAUAUUCAAACUCAUGUUAAAUAGAAGUUUUCUCAGUCUCCUCCAGUUUAAAAUUUUAGGAGGAGAUGAGGUCCUGGUCCACACCUGCGGAUUACCUGGUUUGGGGGGCCCCAUGCUGUCCUUGUCCACCUGGUCAUACUUCUGACCUAGUCUAAAAUCAAAUAGACUCUGGAUUUAGGCCAGAGAAAUGUAUUUAUUAUUCCAAUUGGACUCUUAAUAGCUCACCCGGCACAGCCAGAAGAGGACUGGUCACCCCUCUGAGCCUGGGUCCUCUCUAGGUUUCUUCCUAAAAUUCGACCUUCUUAGGGAGUUUUUCCUAGCCACUGAAAUACAACACUACUGUUGUUUGCUCCUGGGGUUUAAGGCCGGGUGUCUCUGUAAACCACUUUGUGACAACUGCUGUUGUAAAAAGGGCUUUAUAAAUAAAUUUGAUUGAUUGAUUGAGAAAUCAUUACACACCUGCCAUCAUUUAAAGAUACUCUGAUUAAUCACAAAUAAAGUUCAACUGUUCUAGUAUGAUUUUCCUGACAUUUUCUUAGUUGCAUCUCAGAGCAAAAGCCAUGGUCAGCAGAGAGCUUCCAAAGUAUCAGAGGGAUCUCAUUGUUAAAAGAUAUCAGUCAGGAGAAGGGUACAAAAUAAUUUACAAAGCAUUAGAUAUACCAUGGAACACAGUGAAGACAGUCAUCAUCAAGUGGAGAAAAUAUGGCACAACAAAAGACUGAGUGCUGUAAUAAAAUCAAAAGGUGCUUCAACAAAGUAUUAGUUUAAGGGUGUGCACACUUAUGCAACCAGGUUAUUGUUAUUUUAAAUAUAUAUAUAUUUUUUUUUUUCAAUUGAAUUGUUCAUGUUAUAGGUCACAUUUAAGGUGGAAAAUGUCUGACAAGAAUCAUCUUUGUCUCAUUCUUUUACGUCUCAAGAACCUGGCAUUUUAACAGGGGUGUGUAUACUUUUUAUAUCCACUGUAUUUUCCAGUUGUCGGUCAGCAUUCAAGACGUGCCAGUGUUUGUUUUUUUCUGACAUGGCUGUACUGUUCGUGUAGUGGGUAGUGACGAAAGACGCACAGGACUCGUCGGUUGCUGUGAGGAAAUGGUUUGGGUUGACGUCCUAGGUCAUAUUUCUAUGCCUCACAGCCAUUUAUCAGUGUAACCCAGUUCGCUGAAGCGUUCAUCCAAAAUGUCCAGAAAACUUGUUCCAUGUGCAUCAAAGGUAAGCGUGAAUUCUAGAUGUUCACUGCUUGUGUUGAUGGAGUGGAAUUCCUGGAGUACCUCUGCUAUGCCCUGGAAUAAAAGGAAUAUGACAUCAAUAAAGCGUCUCCAGAGUUUGAUAUGGCGCAAGAUUGGAUUACAGACUGGAAUGAUUAGGAGUAAUUUUGUUACCCAUAACAGGUCCCUUAUGCUGAAUGAAGCCCUAUGAAAAAUUAGGUCAUUGACUUUGAUAUUGUGCCAUUGAUUCUAGACCUCCUGGCAGGGAUGUAAAGUUACCUAAAGGCUAUUAUUAUAGAGCCAGACAUAUUGUCCAGCAUCUUGAGUGUUAACCCUGUCCAUAGAAUCCCGUACCUGUCCAGGGAUCGAAUCCACACUGGGUCUUUUAUAAUCUAUAGAUAUCCGCCUAAUGAGACCACGAUAUAAGUCCCACUGGAGGCCUAUCCAAU
Esox lucius (northern pike) is the source of this 3348-nucleotide long non-coding RNA. NCBI's taxonomy places the organism in Eukaryota, Metazoa, Chordata, Actinopteri, Esociformes, Esocidae. The record is from Ensembl.